AAAUAAUAUUACUAUUACAUAAAAUAAUAUUUUUAUUACAUAAAAUAACACCAAAAGUAAUAAUAAUAAUAAUAAUAACCCACAAUGAGCCCAAUAUUUUACAAACAGUAUCUUUCCAAAAGUAGGCGUAAAGACCGGUUUUAGUAAUAAGGUUUAGUGAUUUAAAAUGAAGAGGUAAUCUAUUUCAUGAUUUUAUGCAUUGGUUUGUGAAUUAUUAUUUACGUACAUAACUAAGUAAUGAUUAAGAAUAUAUAAUUUAAGGUUACUAAACAACGGAAGAUAAUAACAAGAACUUUUUAUAGCAGUAAAGAAGUAAUAGAUUGAGGGAGGGAGGUUAACUUGUGCCUGAUUCCAGACAAAUAGACAAUUUAAUAGAUGAACAAGAGCACACAAUUUGAUGAUUUUGGAUAGAAGAAAAGCAUAUUGCUGAUUUAAUAGUUUUAUUGUUCUAAUUGGUCAUAUGGUUCAUUCUUAUCAAAGUUACACAUGCUAGAAGAUCGUGUUAUUCGAUUUAUAAAAAAAUAGUCUUCUUAAAUCACACAAUCAAAACCCUAAUAAACAGAAAGCUUAAACUAACCUUGAGAAAAAGAAUAUAUUGCAAUAAAAAUUUUUAAAAAAGAAAGUCUAUAUAAUGUAAAAAUUUAUAUGUAAGAGAUUAAAUAUUAUACAAAAAAAAAAAAAAAAA
Molecule: long non-coding RNA, 685 nt
Organism: Hydra vulgaris (swiftwater hydra)
Lineage: Eukaryota; Metazoa; Cnidaria; Hydrozoa; Anthoathecata; Hydridae
Source: RefSeq, a predicted model, not a curated record